AGUGGGAGCCAAGAAAAACACGAGAAAGGCAGAAUGCCCUGACUUUUCAGAAAGACAUCAGGGCGGAGUCUCCAAAUACUUUAUUCUUUCUUACUUGCAUUCCAUAGCCUUCCUGGUACAGAAACCCUUUAAAAAAAAGAUAUAGCCUUGGGUGGAAGAGCCACCUUGGCUGAGUAACAGCUGACGAUUUCUUUUCGGAAACAAAAGAAGGAACGGUUCAAUAAAAAGAAAAGUCCGCCCUCUGGAAUGUGACAUAGGCAUGAAUAAACGCAGGGAGGAAAAGGAUAGUUUGGGAAGUUGGCUUGGAUGCCCGGGGUGAUGAAACCUUCAGGGAAUGGAAAAGAGAGGAGACCAACCCCCACCCACCCACGCCACUCCUUGUGGCAACGCCUCCGUCUCAGAUAUAAGAGGAGAAUACAGACAAGGAGCUGCUAGCUCUCUCCAGCCUUUUAGAACGUAGUCAGAACAUUUCUCUUGGGUGUCUCCAUUUCCUGGCAACCAUGACCACCACCUACAGGCAAUACACCUCUUCCUCCUCGAUGAAGGGGCCUUCCUUUGCUGGGGGUUCCUCCCGGCUUUCCUCUGUCCACCUGGGUGGUGGAUACAGAGCCCCGAGCAUCCAUGGCGGAGCUGGUGGCGUCUCCAUCUCUUCCUCUCGCUAUGUUUCUGGGGUAGGCAGUGCCCUUGGGGGUGGCUAUGGGGUAGGCAGUGCCCUUGGGGGUGGCUAUGGGGGCAGCUUCUGCAGCAGCAGCUUUGGUGGUGGGUUUGGUGGAGGCUAUGGUGGAAGCUUUGUCGCUGGUGGCAGCGAUGUCCUUCUGGCCGGGGGCGAGAAGGAGACCAUGCAGAACCUGAACGACCGCCUGGCUAACUACCUGGACAAGGUGCGGGCGCUGGAGGAAGCCAACACCGAGCUGGAGGUCAAGAUCAAGGAGUGGCACAUGAAGCAGGGACCAGGUCCAGAGCGUGACUACAGCCCAUACUUCAGGACCAUCGAGGAUCUGCGGAGCAAGGUAAAUGGCAAACCAGAGAGCCUUUGGAACCAUUAAAUUGUAGAGUUGGGUCGUCUAGAGCAAUGCAGUGGUGUAAAAACAGUUAAGAAAAGAAGAGUAAGGUAGCUGAAAAAAGAGUGGAUGCUCAAGGGAUCCUUGAGCCCAGGCUGCUGGGUUGCAAACCUAAGCAUGGCUAUUAAGGCAUUUGAACCCUUUCCACUAGUUUCUGGCUUAAGCCCGUAUGCAUGUGUCGCUGUUACAGAGCCCAGAACGACUUGUGACAAUGCAGCUACGACCAUUCACCUUGUACAUAAGAAGAACAGCUAUCUGCAAUUCCUGUAUGAAACUGGGGUGCAAUGGAGAGUUUUCUGCUUGCUGUGGGAAGGGUGGGUUCAGAUCUCUAGAGUGCUCACAUUUUAGGCCUUCCCACACAUUCUGUGGCCAAGUGUGUUAUCAACCGGAUGCUUCUUAGGAAGCUGCAACAAAUCCUUAUCCUGUCGUCUGCCCCAUAUAAUGCUCAUGUUUCCAUAUAUAUCCUUCUCUCAUUUACACACUACAUUUUUAAAAAUUAGUGCAUGCUUAAAUAAUCUUAGGGGCACAAAUGAACUCUUACUCAGAGGUGUGGAUCUCCUGAACUUAAGCUAUGUUGUGCAACUGAGAUAUGUUACCUAAGUUAGAUUUUGGUAUAAGCCCUCUAAAUGUAGGGCACAGAGGAAUGUAGGAAGAUGCCUUAUACCAAGUCAGACCAUUGGUCCAUCUAGCUCAGUAUUGUCUUCACUGACUGGCAGUAACACUCUACAGGAUUUGGUAGGGAGUCUUUCACAGCCCUACCUGGAGAUGUUGGCGAUUGAACCUGGGACCUUCUGCAUGCAAAGCAGAUGCUCUACCCACUAAGCUACGGCCCUUCCCCAUUUUCCUGCCCAUCAUGGGGAGGGGUAAGAAGGGCAUCCUGAUUUCUGGUCUGCCAGUGAGACAUUUGUAGAGUCAAGUCAAAUGAACCAACAGACGAGAGGUUUCCUCCAGAAUACAUCAUAUCUAAUCCUUUUGAUUAAGAUUCUGAUUAAAACAACAACCCCAUAUAACCUUCAGGGAAAUGAAAGUUCACAGAACGACCAAGCUGGAAGAGGUCUUGUAGGCCAUCUAGUCCAACCCCCUUCUUGAUGCAGGAAAUCCAGUUAGUGCAUCCCCAACAGAUGGCUGUCCUCCAACCUCUGCUUCAAGCCUACCCACCCCUAAGUCCAGGGCACCAAUGAGGUGACCUUCCAGAUGUGGUUGGACUCCAACUCCCAUCAUCCUGACCAAGGGCCAAUGCUGGCUGGGUGGGAGAGUUGAUGUGAACUGGAGUCCAGCAAUGUCCAGAGGACACAGUGUUGGCUAUCCCUGUCCUGGGUAAACAGUACCAUAGUCUAAGUGCUUGUAAGUUCAAGAGGUUUCUCCUAAUGGUCAACUGAGAUCUAUGCUCUUGUGGCUUAAAACUAUUAGAUCUAGUUCUUCCUUUUAAAGAAGCAGAUAACGACUUCUUCUUCUUCUUCUUCUUCUUCUUCUUCUUCUUCUUCACCCUCAUCUAUGUAACAACCCAUUAGGUACUUGAAGUGCUGCUCAGCUGCUUUAGAAAAACCGGCUGUGAGACAGGUGCACACCUGACAUGUAAAGUACACCCAAGGUCCAUUUAAAGAACACGGAUUUCCCCAAAGAAUCCUGGGAACUGUAGUUUCUCCAUGAUUCCUAGUUCCCUUAACAAUUUCCAGGAUUCCUUGGGGCAAGUUGGGUGUCCUUUACAUCUCUGGUGUGGACCCACAGUUUCUAAAACCCUUGGUCUCUAAUUAUUUUAAGAGUGAAGGGUGUGGACUGAUGGAGGGAUGGAACUGGAUUAAUUUCCAGUUGAACUAAUCCCUAGGAGGAUGACAACCGCAAGAUCAAGAAAAAGAUAUCAGCUAGAACGCAUGGCUGCAGGGCACCAGUGGCUCCAACUUCAGGUGCACCCAAAAGAAAUACAAGGGCCGUGAGUGAUGUCUGUGAUGACAGGACCCUGGGCUUGUGGAUGUGGGGCGGAUAUGACUUGCGUUCCAAGUAUGCGCUCCCUCUGCCAAGCUGCUCAGAUAAUGGAGGGGCUGGAAGCACCCUGGGGCAGGGAGAGGAGAGUUCUCUGACGCAACUCACCCUUUUGUCUAGCGUUGUGGUGACAGGGCAAUGAGAAGGCGCAGGAGCAACGGUUUUUCACUGGACCGAAACGAGAGAUUAGGAGAGCUCUUUGAAGAGAGAACUGGUUAAAUAAAACAAAUGCAAGCCUGCUCAUUUCCACCUUCCACAACGACCCUGUCAAGUAAGCUGCAUUUCACCAGGGGUGCCAAGUGCAAAAGGAGGCAGGCUGAUCCUGCACCUUUAAUGUGAUGAGAGUGGGGAGCCAGGGUGGCACACUGGCUUGGAGCAGGACCUGGGAAACUAGGGUUCAAAUCCCCACUUGGUAAUGAAGCUUGGACCAGUCACUGCCUUUCAGCCAAAUCUACCUCACAGGGAUGUUGUGGGGGUUAAGUGAAGAGGGGAACCAUGUGAGCUACCUUGAGUUCCUUGGAGGAAAAAAAAAAAAGGUGGGAUAUAAACGUAAUAAAAUAGAUGAUGUGUGGCACUUCAGCAGUUCUGUGCUGCCAUGCCAGCUACACCAGCUGAGACCUCCUCUUCUGCAUGAGUAUCCUGCCCCCUUUCUAUCUGCCCACCCUGCAUUUUACAGAUGAGGAACUGACAGCACAACCCUAUACGCUUCUACUCAAUGCAUUCUACUCAAUGCAUCCCAUUGAGUUCAGUGGCACUUACCCUUGUGCAAAUGAGUAUCCAAAUGCAGCCUGAGUUUGAAAGAGGCCUCACCUAAACAAUUGUAACAGAGGACCUUUUUGUAAAAAAGAUGUAAUGCAGCAGGAAAGAUAUAAUUCAGUAGAAAAGGUUUGAGGAAAAACACUGUGGAGAAGUCAACUGAGGGUGGGAAUUAACUCAGGAAACAAUGUAAUUAUUUGAUUUGAAGGGCAUGGUGAAAAUGUUUUUUGUGUGUCUAUCAUCUAUCUAUCUAUCAUCUAUCUAUCUAUCUAUCUAUCUAUCUAUCUAUCUAUCUAUCUAUCAUCUAUCAUCUAUCUAUCAUCAUCUAUCUAUUAUCUAUCUAUCUAUCUAUCUAUCUAUCUAUCUAUCUAUCUAUGGUAUCUACUAUCUAUCUAUCAAUUAUCUAUCUAUCAUCUAUCUAUCUAUCUAUCUAUCUAUCUAUCUAUCUAUCAUCUAUUUAUGCCUUGAGAGAAGCUUCUGAGUUUGCUCAUGGAUCACCAGAAAUCUCUAUCCAUUGCUUGAUCUACUGAUGUCCUUCCUUGAAAAUGGCACCUAAUAAGGAGCAGCCGAUGGAUAACAACAUAAGAGAACAAGUGCCUUCCUUGCUUGGCAGCAGAUUUUGCCAAUCUGGCAAUUUCCAGACAUCAUGACUCUGCUAUCUAGGGCUGAUGGGAGUUGUAGUUCAAAACAGUUGGCAAGCAGCAGGUUGGCAAGGGCUGAUUUCCAGUUUCCUCAUGUUUAUCAUAAUCCAUUUGGGUGAUAAUAAUAAUAAUAAUAAUAAUAAUUUACACCCCACCCAUCUGGCUGGGUUUCCCCAGCCACUCUGGGUGGCUCCCAACAGAAUAAUAAUAAUAAUAAUAAUAAUAAUACUAACCAGGCAAUAAAACAUCAAAUAUUAAAAACUUCCCUAAACAGGGUUGCCUUCAGAUGUCUUCUAAAAGUCAGAUAGUUGUUUAUUUCCUUGACAUCUGAUGGGAGGGUGUUCCACAGGGAUUAGUAGGGAUUGCUAUUAAUAUGGUCAACCCAAUAGUGGCAGUGAUGGGUAGAGUAAGCCUGUUGGAUAGAUCAUAGAAUCAUAGAAUUGUAGAGUUGGAUGGGACCCUGAGGAUCAUCCAGUCCAACCCCCUGCAUCCAGUCCAACCCCCUGCAAGCUGUCCCAUAUGCAGAUAGAACCUGCAACCUUGACAUUAUCAGCACCCCACUCCAGCCAGCUGAGCUAUCCAGGCUGACCUGAUGCAUGUUAACUUGGUGCCAUGAACUGCCAUUCUAACUUCCACCCUAGGCAUCACUUAAUGCCUGCUCUCGUCCUGUAUACUUAAGAGAGUACAUAAUUCAGACAAGCCUCUUUAAGACUUCUCUUUAAGACUACUUGUUCUUUCCCCAGAUAUUGGCUGCCACUGUUGACAAUGCUGGCAUCAUCCUGCAGAUUGACAAUGCCCGCCUGGCAGCCGAUGACUUCAGAACCAAGUAAGUUGUGCUUCCGCAGAAUAUGUAUGAACCAUGAGCAGGUGGAACAAACAUUUCAUUUGGAGAACGGUCUCCAAUCUACGGCUCCCUGGACUGAUGAAGUUGCUUCAGCCAUAUUAAGCACUGGCACUAGGAUUCAAAUUGGCCAACAGCUUCCAAGGCAGAUCUAAAAACCACUCAACAAGUUGGAGCAAGGAAAGAAAAAUUAGGUUUAGAAACACAGAGUUUGGUCCAGAACACAAGCAAGGUGUAAUUAGCAGGCUGGAUUAGGAAGCCAACAAACAAGGCUGGAUAAUCUGACAUCUCAUAUAUCAGGAAACUUAACUGAAGGCCUGUCAUGAACAACUAGUCUGAAAAAGCAAAUACCGUAUUUUUCUGUGUAUAAGACGUCCCCUAUUUUGGAGGACUAAAUUUAAAGAAAAUGAGAGGAGAUGGCCCGAGGUUGUUGAGCUUUUUUUAGGGGGAAUUGCACUCCUUCACCCCAGAAGGGCCGUUGCUGGGGGUUGGCAAAGGGGGCAGACGCUCCCCCCAUGAUGCUCCCUAGACUGUGCACCUCCCUCAGCGGCAUGCGGGGGAGUUGCAUGUCCACCAACCAGCUGGCUGGUGGCAUACAGCUCCCCCCCCACUAUCCGUGUAUAGGAUGACCCCAGUUUUUUUGACAUGAUUUUUGAGCCAAAAAAACUUGUCUAAUACAUGGAAAAAUACAGUAAGCAAAACUAUGUGGAACAAAACAAAACAAAAAAUAUGAAAAAGGGAUAUCUUAAUUUAAUCUGUCCUUUUUUCUGAUUCCAGGUUUGAGACAGAGCAAGCUAUGCGCAUGAACGUGGAGGCUGACAUCAAUGGGCUGCGCAGAGUCUUGGAUGAGCUGACCCUGUCCAGGGCAGACCUGGAGAUGCAGAUUGAGAACCUGAAGGAGGAGCUGGCUUAUCUCAGGAAGAACCAUGAAGAGGUAAGAGGCAAAGCUGCCAUGAACCUGUAUCGCAUGGCCAGUGGCAAGUAAAGCAUCCUACACUUGCUGGCUUCAGUCCCAUAACCAACCAGUCAUGUGCCUGUACUGCCAUGCUCAAGAUCUGGUCUUUGGAGUGCCAGGACAAACCCUCAUUUAGGGUGGCUUGUGAUGGUGUGCAGAAAGUCUAAUUCAUAGCAGUCAAGCAGCUGGUCAAAGCCUGCUUGCUAGCCACCAAGACAGAGUCUGUCUUCAAAGGACCAUGGCUCUAUUCAGUGGUGGAGUAUAUGCUUUGCAUUCAAAAGGUCCCCUGCUAAACCCAGGAGAGCUGCUUCCAGUUGUUUUCGGAGAGAUGGACAACUUGGACAAGUAGGCUAAUCAGCCAUAAGGCACUUUUCUAUGUGGUUUUGGACUCCCAUGUCACAGCUGGAACAGAUAAGCAAAUAAACAUUCUUUCUUUUUUAUUAAGAAUGUUCAGAAUACAUUACAAUAAAAAACAAACUGAUCUAAACAUUUUUUAAAAAAAGAAAGUAAAAAUAGAAUGCAGAGUCCUCUCACAGGUAGAUCUUAACUCUUGUCCCAUACAGAAAAAGGUGAACCCUCUCAGCUCUCACCUGGGACCUUUCUUUUCUUCUCCCAACCUCCCACCCUGCGAGAACUUCCCUUCCCUGCAUCUCACACAGGGUCCUUCACCAACCAUCCAUCACCUUCAUCUGCGUGCAGUUCUCUCCUUAACCCAGAGUAGAGGACAAAAAACAAAAUGAAAACAAAGCAAAUAAACUUUCCACUCUUUCCACUUUUCCUCUCUUUCCAGGAAAUGGCUGUCCUCCGAAGCCAGAUGGGUGGUGAGAUCUCGGUGGAAAUGGACGCUGCUCCUGGAGUGGACCUGACCAAGAUCCUGACGGAGAUGCGUGAGCAGUACGAGCACCUGGCAGAGAAGAACCGCAAGGAUGCUGAGCAGUGGUUCUUCAGCAAGGUGGGACUUCCUCUCAGGAUGAAGGAGCUUUCUGGAGGGGGAAAAAGAGUGCCACAGGUUCUCAAAUGGAUACUCGGUGCUCUGAGUUUCAUGUGAGCAACAUGUGUUCUCCUUUUGCUUGCAGACCGAAGAGCUGAACCGCGAAGUUGCCAUCCAUACAGAGCAGCUGCAGAGCGGCAAGUCGGAGAUCACAGAACUUAGGCGGAGCGUCCAAAGCUUGGAGAUAGAGUUGCAGACUCAACUCAGCACGGUAAGGGGGCACGUGGAACUGGGGAGGAUGAUGUGUCUUUGAAAGUCCCCUUGGCUCUAUUUUGGUGACACAGUCCAAGAAGUAGGACCUUUUCAUUUGAAUGAUUUGCGGUGCGUUUCUGGCCAUUGCGUAACAAUGCCCACCUCCCCUCUUUUGGACAGUAUCAUUAGUGUGUCCUUACACAGAGUGCAACUUUGCUUUUGGCUGCUCCUCAAUAGCUCAAGAAAAAAAAAAGGUAGUUAAGAGCACAGAGACACACAGGGCUCAAAAAUGAACUGUGCUUAAAUCCCAUUGAACUCAAUGGGAUAGGUUGGUGGUGACAAAUGGUGCAAUCUUAUAUGUCUAUUGAGCUCGUUGAAUUAAGUAGGACUUACUUCCGGCGAAGUGUGCAGCCUAUAUACACUACACUGUAUCAGAUUGCAGUCAUUGCGUUCUUUGGGUGAGAAAGUCAGAGGUGUGGCACUAAGAAGCGAUGGAGCGAGUCGUCCUGCUGCUCUUGUCUCAUAGCCUAGAGGCUCUGCAAAAAUUUAAUAUGGGAUGAUUAAAAAGUGGUUUCAUGGCUAGUUUGACUAGGCCUAGGACUAGACUAGGACCAGGGAGACCCAGGAUCAACUCCCCAUGCGGUCAUGAAGUUCACUAGGUGACCUAGGACCAGUCACUAUCUCUCAUCCUACUGUACCUGGUAGAGCUUUUAUGAGGGUGAAAUGUGUGCCUGUGUGAGUGAGUGAGAGAAACUCCUUUAAGCUUCUUGGGUGAAAGAUGAAUGCAACAACAAAGCUGUGUAAUAAUUUACAGAGCAGUAAUUCUAGUGCAGCAAAAACGACCUAGAGUCCUGUAGUCUUGUGGCACCUUAAAGACUAAUUUUUAUCAUGGCAUAAGCAUUUGUGGACUGCUUUCAGGCUUCCCACAUGCAUCUGGUUGGCCACUGUGAGAAUGGGAUGCUGGGCCAGAGAGACCUUUGGUCUCAUCCAGCAGGCUCCAUAACCCAAAGCUAUUUGCUGAUUGGACAUCUGCAUUUACCUAAGGACUUUAGAUGCUAUACCUGAUUUAACAAAUCUGACAAUUUUGGUUUCUGUCACUUUCUCAUUUUUCCAAUCUUAAAUCCAGUUCUCCACAUCUCAGUAGUAAUGUGCAGGGGUUUCAGAAUUUUGUCUGAAUUCUUCCUGAUAUACACAUUUUUAUAUAGACACCUUUUUUUUUUGCAAGCAACAUCCCUCAACAUAAUGAAUUUUGUGGAAAUUUCCUCUAAUAUAUGCAUAUUAUUUGGUUAGGAAGCUGCACCACAAAAUCUGGAAAAGUGCAAAUUCUGAAGAAUAGUUGUGUUUUGGUUUGCAAACAAAAUUCAAUUUCCCUCCGUCCCUCCUUGAAAUAUUUCAUGAAACCUGUUAAGUUGUGGGUGAACAUAUCAGACGACACAGCGAUUCUUCAAACAGCUCUUGUUUAUUCACAGGCCAGAACAGAACUGAACUGAAGGGUUCAGUCAGCCUGCUUAUAUAGAGCUCCAGUACAACGUAACUGUAACAAUUUUCUAAAACUAUCCAAUCACUGAACGUAACUUUUGAUACCUUAUUUGCCUAACUAUCUACAGUAUCCCCCGGCUGGCCCAGGGUGAGAACUUCAGUACAUAACAAAACCAGCGUGCAGCCCACUACUGUCAUUGUUAUAUACCUGAUAAUCUUCCAAAGUUCUCAAAGCAAUGAAUGUGACCCUCCUCUCAAUUCUCUUCCCCCAGAAAGCAGCACUGGAAGCCACCCUGGCAGAUACAGAGUCUCGCUAUGGCUCCCAGCUCGCCCAGAUCCAGGUUAUGAUCAGCAGCAUGGAGGAGCAGCUGGCUGAGUUGAGGUGCGACAUGGAGCGCCAGAACCACGAAUACAAGAUCCUUCUCGAUGUCAAGACCCGCCUGGAACAGGAGAUCGCCACCUACCGCCGCCUGUUGGAGGGAGAGGAGGCCCAGUACGUAAAAGAGGGGCUGGGAUGGCUGUGCUGGGGAGGGAUGGCAAGAAGGGAGUUCUAAAACAGCUCACAUGGAGCAAAACAGGGAGGUUCCUUCAAUAUCUUAAAAGGCAAUUUUAUCCAGAUUUUGGUGGUGCUGGCAUUAAUAGAUCCAUUAAUUAUUUUAUUAUCUAAUCAACAAACAACACUGUCAUUGGUAUGCAGCCCUGUUUCUAUAUUUAAUAGGCAUUUUUAGGAUUUUUUUUUUUUCUAUUAUUACAUUGGCAUUUCAUAAUGUAUUCUAGAAAAGCAGUCUGCAUUUCUAACUUGGCCAUGUUUCUUUCCUCUUUUCUUACAGCAUCAGUUCCCAGUACAAUGCAGCUGUGUCUGGAAGAGAUGGUAAGAAUGCAUGCCAACUAAAAAAAGUUCAGUUCUCAGAUUCUGGGGGAAAUAGAGGAGAACCUUUCAAGAGGCCCUGACUUGUCCCAUUUUUAGCCAAACCCAGUAGCCUUCUAAAAACAGUAGCUGAUGGACCACCACAAAUGGUAAGGAGAUGGCAAGGAGAUAAUCUGAACACUGCGACCCUUCAUCUUGUGUGAUGUUAGCUGCUGCCACUGCUAAGUGAGUCAGGAUGAAGAUAUCUCUGCGCAUCAAAGAAUGCUGUUCACCAACAUCACCAUCUUGGAUUGCAGUGUUACUAUCACCCUUGGCCAGAAUCCUGAGCAGAUUUCAGAUUUCUGAAUAACAUUAUGAUGCUUUCCUAAACUCACUUACUGGGAGUAAAGCUGUGCACACAUUAUACAUUUAAAGCACAUUUGAAAAUCAUUCAUUCCCUCAAAAAGUUCUGGGCACUUUAGUUUACCCCCAUAGAACUGCAAUCCCUAGCAACCACUUAACGAACUACUUCAGCGCCCAGAAUUCUUCGAGGAGAAAAUGUGCUUCAAAGGUAUAAUGUGUGUGCAGCCAUAGUCAUGCUGAACUCACUGAACUCUGAGCAAACAUGCCUAGGACUGCGCUAUUAAUGACAUCCCAGCCCCACACAAUUCCUGUUUUCCCCAACAAUUCCAAGUAGAUAAGAGGAAAGUAGAUGAGGUACUCAUCUCUGCUAUUCUGACAGGGCACAGACGGGGAGUGGGUGCUCUUCCAGAUGUUGUUGGACUCCAACUCCCAUCAGCCCCAGUCAGGAUGGCCAAUGGUCAAGGCUGACAGGAGUUCAGCAACAUUUGGGGGUGACCCACAGGUUUCCCAUCCCUGUAAGACAUCCUACUUUUGUCUCUCAACUACAUAUAUUUUGCAAACUGCUUUGAGGUUGUUGUGUUUUUUUACAAUCAAGUGGUGUGUGAGACAAGUUAUGAAAUAAUAUCAGGAGCAACUUCCUGGGGUCUUCUGUACGUGGAAAUGGAAACAUUAACCAGUCUGCUCACAGGCCUAGAAAGCAACAGAAGCCUUCCAGCAUUCCUUGGUCCUUCCCUCAAGGCCUGAUUGGCUCCCAGCUCAGCCUCCCAGUUGGCUGAGGACCCUAUAUAAGCUUCUCAGGUCCUCUCACCUCCUGAUCAUUACGUUUUUGAGAUGGAGUUAUCUGGUGAAGUUAUGAAACAUCUGAAGGGGAAAUAAACCCUCUCUCCAAUUCUUCUCUUGCAGUGACAAAGACCUCACGUCAAGUCCGCAUGAUUGUCGAGGAGGUUGAAGAUGGAAAGGUCGUCUCUUCUCGUGAGCAGGUCAAACAGUCCAGCUAUUGAAAAGAACCUGCCAUCAAUAGUGCCCCAAGACUAUAGUUCUGUGGAUACAACUGAGAGAGUUUAACAUCACAGAAUCUUCAUGCGUUCUGCAGUAUGCCUUCCUUUUUUUAAUUAAAAAAAAUAGUUAUCAGCAAGUUUUCCAAAUUAACAAAAACAACACAUAUUUUCUGUUAUGUAUGUGUGUGCAGCUUCCUUUGCAUAAGGAAGAAAAAGCACACUGUCAACUGCCUUGCUUGCUAAUAGCUAAUAAAGCAUUAUUUCCUAUAAAACACG
This is a non-coding RNA of Podarcis lilfordi (Lilford's wall lizard), 11380 nucleotides long. NCBI's taxonomy places the organism in Eukaryota, Metazoa, Chordata, Lepidosauria, Squamata, Lacertidae. The record is from the annotation of a GenBank genome assembly.